AGACUCCUAUCGGGCAUUUUAGAGUUAAAUAGGAACUCCAAUCACAUGAGCUAACUCUCUUAAUAAAUAUGGAAAAGGAUUUGUUCCAAUCAAUUCUCUUCUCCAUUUUGAAGCUGUUAAUCUCUAGUAGAAUCUUGAAUGACCCUCGCUUUCCUCUCUGUGUUCUCUUGUCCUCCUCUCCUUGGUCCUUCUCUUCCCGCUCACUGAAGGAAAUGGCACAGGGUAAUGGGAGAGGUCCAGAGGCCAGAGAGGAAUGCCAGAGGAAUGCCAGGCAGAGGUGGUGGCCUUUGUGAUUCACUCCAGCCGUGAUCGGUCAACCAUAGGCAUAUCAUUUUUGUCCGUGCCUGGUUCAAGAAUGGCCUAUUCUGACCAAGAGCACGAGGAGAAGUGUGCAGGAGGAUUUCUAGAAAAGGUUUCCUCUCUUCUAAGGAGACGUAGGAAGAAGUAACCGCUCUUCUCCCUCUGAAUUUUGUCUUCAGGACUUGUCCAGCCAUCCUGCUGCCUGCUUGAGAUGGAAGCAUGCUCUGGGGAUGGUCAAGGGACCAUGGAAAGAUCUGUGCCCUCAAGGAUAUUCUUGAGCCACCAGAUCAAACAAGUGCAGAUACUCACACACCCUCUGACCUGCUGCUAUGAGGGGUGAUAAGUUUUCUGACUGUGAACCAACUGUAUGACUCACAGUUGUGAGCCCCUGCAAGAAAUGAUCAACAAUGUACCCUGAUGAAUCACAAAACAGAACAAUGACCAAAUCUGGGAGUAUUUGGGCAGUAUUUUCACCCGGAACAUGCAAGGUAAGAGCCAGGUGAGUAAUUAGCCAUGACUUUUAAUAAGUGACUAAUCCCCUGAGAGAAAGCUUUGCCAAAGUAGAGUCAAUGUGAAAAUGCAGAUUGUUAUGAAGUCUUUGACGUCUUAUUCAUUCAGUGGAUACUUGUGGAGCUUCUCAUAGGAAAUCAAAUGCUGUACACAACCCUGGGGACAUUACAAGAGGAGGCAUGGUCCCUACUUAAGGAAUUCAUGGCUUCAUGGUAGCAGCUGGUAUCCUAAUGUCAAUAAAAAUCAGCUAUAAUACAAAUGGGGUGCUACAGUCAAGAUAUAUAUGACAAGUUACGGGAUAUUAAGAUGGACGAUGCCUAAUCUGUUCAGAGAAAGUCAGGGGAGACUUUAGAGAGGAGAUAACUCUGGAACUGAGACCUAUAUAUUAAAAAGGGUUAGGAGAACAAGGUGAGGAAAAGCAUUUUAGCCAGAGAGUACAGCAUCUGCCAGCGGGGAUUGCAUGGAGGUUGAAACAAAAAGCAGAGUACAUCAGAAGUAAUUUACCGGGGGGUACAGCAAACGGUGUAUAGGAAAUGGAGCUGGUGAGGAGGGGGAGUCAGGUUCUAGGAGGUGGAGGGCCUCCUAGGACAUCAUAAGGAGCUAAGAUUGUAUUUUGUGCAUAAUGAAGAGCCGUUGCCCAGUUUUAAGUCGGGGUGAGACAUACGGUGUUGCAGUCCUGAGAGAUUACCCACCCUGGGAACAGCACAGGGUAUGGACUGUGAGAAGCUGAAUCAAGAAGCGAGGAGGUGCCUUGCGGGGCUGCUGUAUUUCUGAACUUACUUGUGUUGUAUUUAUGAAUUUACGUUGUAUCUAUGUAUUUAGGGAAGCAGUCAUGGGGGUGAGGAGGAGGAAGCAUCUUCAGAAAAUACAGAGGGAAGGAAUCCCUGGACUUCACCGAUACUCAGCAGCACAUGACCAGCAUCUGUCUCUCCUUAAAGCCCUCCUCUUAUUUUUCAUCCUGGACACGAAACUCAUAGUUUGCCUUGUGUCUCACUGGCGCUUCCCUUUUUUCUGUCUCCUUUGCCAGCAACUCGUCCUUUUCCUGACCUCUGAUGUCGGCAGACCCUUUCAAACAAGAUGGGGAACCCGAAGGAGGCCAGGAGACCUGCUCCUGUCACUAACACACUGGGGUUGAGUCCAAGUGGAGCUCCUUCUCCCAGCCCGUGGUGCCUCUCCUGCCCUCAACCCCCACAUCCUCCCUUCCAGACCCUUGAGCAAAAGCUGCAGGUAAAGGAAUUUCCAAAUGCCUCUUUCAGAAUGAGUUAUUCCACCUAGGGAAAAAAAAGUCUCUUCCUCUUGAACCAUCUAGAAAAAAUUAAAGCUGACUCUGAAUAGUGGCAAAUUUUCCUAAUUUCCAAUGUGAGCUCAGGCACCCUCCAACUAUACACACAGAGUGUUGAAUAUGCAACAUGAAUUAAACAUAAAUUAAAGAUGCAUAUGAAAAAGCAUGUUGGGCAAUGCAAUUUCUAUUAGAAAAGCACUUUUUCCUCCUCUUCAUUCAAGUCCUAGGACAGAAAUCAUUUGUAGCUGAUAAUUAUAAAAAAGCAAUUUCAUGAAAAUUUAUGAAUAUUUUUUUUCUAACCUCUGGCUGAUUAACCAGGUAACUUAUUUAUUAAUGUGAAGGAAAAAGAGGACUAACUGUCUGCCCUAUAUUCUCACUUGGAAGAUUCCUCUGCUCUAACUAUCUUCAUUUUUUCAAGUAAAAAUUCUCCCAGUAGGAUUUUGUAUAACUGAAUACACAGAAAACCCUUCAGUAUCUUUUUUUUUUAAAGUAGGCUCCCCACCCAACAUGGGGCUCCAACCCAUGCCCCCCAGGUCAGGAGUCGCAUGCUGUCCCUACUGAGUCAGCCAGGCAUCUCAGACCCUUAGUAUCUUCGCAAGAAAUUUAUCUUGUUUCAAGUGUUUGCCUAUAUUAGUUACUUUUAUUUCAAAAAUACUUAAAUGUGCAGAUUUAAGGACAAUAACUCUUCCAUCAAAAGAUGUUCAUUUCCUUAAUGGAGAACAUAAUGUUUACAGUUAUUGAUUUAAUGUUGGAAGCUUUGAGCUGGCCUUAACUCCUUAACUUCAUACAACUUAGAGCAAGGCUUUAUUAAGGCUUUAUUUUUGUUACAGCCAGAAUUUCAGAACACAUACCAAAUAGAAAAGUAAGGGUUAUACAUGUAGCCAAACUGGGGAAAAGAGAGAAAGAAGGAGGGACCCAGCACGUAUUGGGAACUCAUUACGAGUAAAGGCAUAGCUUUAGAUGAGCCCUUUCUAUACUGUAGAAAAUCCUUGAAAUUUGGGGAGGUGAUUCAGCAGUGAAAUCUCCAGCCUUUUGGCAGAAUCCUCUUGGAUUCUUGGUUUCAGCCUUGGUAAGGGAGCAGCCACUUCCUCCUGCAAUCCAAAAGGCCAUCUCUCCCCUUCCCCAUCCCCUUAGGGCUGAUGCACAGCCAUGUGUCCAGGACUCAAGGGAUCAGGUGCUCACGCCCAACGUUCAACAUUCCGUAUUUGAGGCAGCAGUGGGCUGGGAAACUGGGUCUCUUGGGAAAACAAAACCCAGCCCUGAUUUUUAUCAUUUGCUAAUUUCUGUGGUGUUGAUUACAGUGGCUGAUUUCAAACGACAAAUAUUUCAACACCCAUUUUGCAAAACUCCUGAAUAGUUCAUGGUAGUCUCUCACGAGCAGGUUGGAUUCCCGUGCGGUACAGCUCUGACAGGGGACGAUGCCUGGACACCUUCGGGGAAGAGUCUGGCAUCAGUGACUGACAGUGCCAGGUGGCAGCCACGGCAGGAACUGGUGUCAGUGGUAGAGGAGCCAGGGAUGGGCUCCACCAACCAUACCUGCUGGUGACCUUGACUCUUUUCUUUUGCCCACUUUCCCUAACGCGUGCUCAUUCUCUGACCCUGGUUCUUUCACCUUCCUGUCAAUUCUGUGAGCAUCUCAAUAGCCUCCAAUAAUUGCUUUUCUGCCGAUGUCAGCCAGGGUUGGUUCCUAUCGCCUGUCACAAAGAAUCAUAACAUUCCUUUAAUUAAGCCUAAUGAUAAUCCUGUGAGUAAGGUCCUGUGAUUAUUAUCUCCAGUUUACAGAUGAGGAAUGAAGCUCAGGGAAGUCAAGUAACUUGACCAAGGUCACACACAGCUUUUAAAUAACAGAACUCAAACGCUCUUUCUACUGCACCAAGCUUCCUCUCACAAACCAUGGCCACUUCUGUAUAUCCAGUACUUACCCUUGGUCUAGGGCUCCAUUAGGCCGGCAUUACCUUAGAAACAUUAUUUGGGGUAUAACAUUUUUGAAUAAAAUAAAUAACUUUUCCACACACUAGAUCCAAGUAACCAUUGCCAUCUUGGUAUCUAGAGAUACCCGUUUGUAAAGAGUAGUUGAGGGGCGCCUGGGUGGCUCAGUCGGUUAAGCGUCCGACUUCAGCUCAGGUCAUGAUCUCACAGUUCGUGGGUCCGAGCCCCACGUCGGGCUCUGUGCUGACAGCUCAGAGCCUGGAGCCUGCUUCGGAUUCUGUGUCCCCCUCUCUCUCUGACCCUCCCCUGCUCAU
Molecule: long non-coding RNA, 4335 nt
Organism: Acinonyx jubatus (cheetah)
Lineage: Eukaryota; Metazoa; Chordata; Mammalia; Carnivora; Felidae
Exons: 3
Source: RefSeq, a predicted model, not a curated record